UGUAAGGUUUGUUUCGGUCUGUCAUGGUUAGGACUCCUGUAUGGUUUUCAUGUCCUCAGUCUCAAUUUUGCUCCGUGUUGCCCCCUUGCUGUUUUCUGCUUUUUCUUUUGUACUUUCUAGUUUUGCUCCUUGUGUUUCACCAUUUGGAUUACCUGAGUUGGAUUUUGCUUUCGUUUCACCUCUUGGAUUAUACUUAAUUAAAGACGAGGACUGGGCUCUUCUGGUCGGCGGCGGCCUCUUCCUCAUCUUCCUCCUCCUCGGCAGAGUGCACAGACUGCUCACUGGAACCUGCAGCACUUCCCUGAGCCCUGUCAACAGCAUCUCACUGGAGGCCAGUUAGUGACAAUGCACCCCUGUUUUGCUCUAUGUUUCUCCAGUAAGGCCAGUGUCCUGGUGCAGCGGUACUCCAGUCCUGAUGAACCGUAAUCCCAACAUGCUUGGAUGUCCUCGCCGGGGCCCUCAGAGGGGCCGUCCGACUGCCCACAGGCCAACUCCUCUCCACCACUUGCUCCCAAACAGCCUUUUAAUAGGUUUUAAAAGAGGGUUAUUAACAUCACCUGCUAAUUAUGUUAAGGACCUAAUUAGGGAAUGAGGAAAAAAGGGCUUUUUGUCUAAUUAGGUUUUCUUUCUAAGUACACUGAUAACCAAGGGAAUGCUGAGAUCUCUGUAGAAAUGAGAGUGCAAUGAGCCAGUGAGAGGAUGCUUCAGAAAAAGAGUUAACCCUUUCAACAGAGCCCAACUCUAUUAACAAGCCACUGGCAGAGUGCAAUUACCCCCCAAAUCGUUUAUUUGGGACAUGUUUAUCUGGAGUGGGAGUCUGCAUCAUUUAGCGCAUUAUAAACUCAAUAGAAGCUUCAUUAGCGAUUACAGUCGGUGGGUGGUAUUACCUGCCUGAUAUCUGACUGCAGCCUGAUGAUAUCAGCUGCUGCCGCCGAAUUACAAGGCAGGGACCUAAUUUUUCAGCCUAUGCUGGUCUGUCCUUGCUGUUUCCUCCACUCAAGUGCUACCCAGCCGGUGCACUGCCAACAGCACUUCGCUGGGCCUUCAGCUGCAACAUGGCAAUGGGAAGAGACAACAUACAAUGACUUAAUCACAGAGCAGGAACAAGAGAUGCUAGAGCAGAAAGAGGGGUGUGUGUUAAAAGAGGAAUUAUGUGAUUCAAGCCUGGAAAGUGUGUGACGCGGCUCCAGUGUCUUACUAUUCAGAUAAGUGGCAGAGGUUUGACAUUGAAGUUGCACAGCAGUGAAGUUGUUUGGAAGCAGUGGAGGCAGAUACAUUAAAGUGAGGCACGUUCUGUUUCUCCAACAUUAAAAAAAAUAUAUAUUACUCAUAACUACUCUUAUUUCAUUUUUAUUGCAUUCUUGAAAUACAAAAAAAAAAUUGUCAACUGA
Long non-coding RNA from Scophthalmus maximus (turbot), 1391 nucleotides. RefSeq lists it as uncharacterized. The transcript has 3 exons. The record is from RefSeq and is a predicted model, not a curated record. Lineage: Eukaryota; Metazoa; Chordata; Actinopteri; Pleuronectiformes; Scophthalmidae.